RNAcentral lists this ribosomal RNA (465 nucleotides) under uncultured bacterium. RNAcentral describes it as "bacterial SSU rRNA". It matches the Rfam family "Bacterial small subunit ribosomal RNA", at positions 329 to 792 of the family's 1533-position model. The record is from RNAcentral.
UGCCAGACUCCUACGGGAGGCAGCAGUGAGGAAUAUUGGUCAAUGGGCGGGAGCCUGAACCAGCCAUGCCGCGUGAAGGCGAGUGCCCUACGGGCGUUAAACUUCUUUUGUGCGGGAGCAAUAAGGGCCACGUGUGGCCCGAUGAGAGUACCGCACGAAUAAGCAUCGGCUAACUCCGUGCCAGCAGCCGCGGUAAUACGGGGGAUGCGAGCGUUAUCCGGAUUUAUUGGGUUUAAAGGGUGCGUAGGCGGCGCUUCAGGUCAGCGGUGAAAUACCGGGGCUCAACCCCGGGGCUGCCGUUGAAACUGGCGGGCUGGAGUUGGAGAGAAGUACGCGGAAUGCGCGGUGUAGCGGUGAAAUGCUUAGAUAUCGCGCAGAACCCCGAUUGCGAAGGCAGCGUACCGGCUCCACACUGACGCUGAGGCACGAAAGCGUGGGUAUCGAACAGGAUUAGAUACCCGUGUA